RNAcentral lists this ribosomal RNA (489 nucleotides) under Neurostigma sp. KY471. RNAcentral describes it as "partial 16S ribosomal RNA". Lineage: Eukaryota; Metazoa; Arthropoda; Insecta; Psocodea; Neurostigmatidae. The record is from RNAcentral.
UCUUUUUGUUAAUUUAAUAAGUCUAAUCUGCUCACUGAAUUUUAAAGAGCCGCAGUAUUUUGACUGUGCAAAGGUAGCAUAAUCAAUAGUUUUUUAAUUGUAAACUUGAAUGAAUGAUUUAAUGAAAAAUUAUUUUUUUUUAUUUUAGUAAAUUGAACUUAAUUUUUAAGUUAAAAAUCUUAAAUGUAUUUGAAAGACAAGAAGACCCUAUAGAUUUUUAUUAAUUUUUUUAGAAAAAAUUUUUAUUUAAAUUUAAAUUAAUUUAGUUGGGGUGACUAUGUAAUAUGUAAAAUUUAAUUUAUAUUUAAUCAAGAAUUAUUGAAGUUUUGGAUUUAAAAUUUUUAAAUUUUAGAUUAAAUUACCUUAGGGAUAACAGCGUAAUUUUAUUUUAAAGAUCAUAUUUAUAAUAAAGCUUGCGACCUCGAUGUUGAAUUAAGAUUUAUACUGAUGAAGAAGGUGGUAUUAUUAGUCUGUUCGACUAUUAAAUCU